Chrysemys picta bellii (western painted turtle) is the source of this 506-nucleotide long non-coding RNA. RefSeq lists it as uncharacterized. The record is from RefSeq and is a predicted model, not a curated record. Lineage: Eukaryota; Metazoa; Chordata; Testudines; Emydidae.
AUACAUUUCAUGAAUGUUGCUCCUGAUUUUUAUUUACAUAAUUCUGAGUCAAAUUCUUUGAGUCCCUUUGUUGUUGUCCCCUCAGAACAGGCACAAAAAUGCUGAAAACUCAUAUUCCAGUUGGUCAGGAUGUCUGGAUAAUUGACUGCACAGCUGCUGGUGCAACAGCAGAGAACACUGGAAAGAGUGCACAUGGAUUGAGCUGUCCUAAAAGGUGUCAUAUCAACAUCACUGGAAAUCCACAGCACAAAUAAAGCAUGGACAGCAAUACUGCAGACUUCGAGUUUUUUUUAAGCUGUCCCAUCAAUGUGACUCAACCCUGGAUGACAGGGACCACCUCUGAAGAGUCUAGGUCUCUAAGAACUUAAUCUCCAGUGCAACCCACCGGCUAGUAUAUUUGAUAUGAAGGCAAAUCCAGAUCCCAGCCCAGUGCUAGGUGAGUCCUUGCUCUACUAUCCACUAUAAUGUGAUGUUGCCUUCUUAAUAACAAAGUUCCAUAUGUACAU